This is a long non-coding RNA of Mauremys reevesii (Reeves's turtle), 454 nucleotides long. RefSeq lists it as uncharacterized. NCBI's taxonomy places the organism in Eukaryota, Metazoa, Chordata, Testudines, Geoemydidae. The transcript has 2 exons. The record is from RefSeq and is a predicted model, not a curated record.
CCAACACCUUAAAGGACAAUUGGAUCUCAAAAUAUGAAAGACCCCUCAUUCAAUAAAGCAACAGGAUUGGCUCUGAGGAGCGGUAAGCAACAUUUGAUGAAGGAAACAGGCAGCGUGGACAGUAUUCAAGACACAAUGUUUAAAAGUUGCUGCUGGGAUGGAAGCAAAGAAGAAAGCCCUGGAGAUGGGUUAGUGCUGGGACACAGGCACUAUCCUGGAGGGGCCUGGGACAGGGUGUUUAACCAUAGUGACCAGUGGGUCCUUUCCCCACUGUGGUCCUGGCUCGCAUGCACAGGGUGAAACCGAUCGCCAUGUUUGGGGUCAGGAAGGAAUUUUCCUCCAGGGCAGAUUGGCCAGAGACCCUGGAGGUUUUUCGCCUUCCUCUGGGGCAUCGAGCAGGGACCAGCCCUUAGGGCCAUUUAGGAACAGACAUAAUAAAAUCAAUCAGAGAGAA